RNAcentral lists this ribosomal RNA (478 nucleotides) under uncultured bacterium. Its description in RNAcentral is "bacterial SSU rRNA". It matches the Rfam family "Bacterial small subunit ribosomal RNA", at positions 364 to 832 of the family's 1533-position model. The record is from RNAcentral.
UUUCGCAAUGCCCGAAAGGGUGACGAAGCGACGCCGCGUGCGGGAAGAAGGCCUUCGGGUUGUAAACCGCUGUCGGGAGUUAAGAAGUGCAAGGGCGUUAAUAGCAUCUUUGCUUGACUAAGGCUCCGGAGGAAGCCACGGCUAACUCUGUGCCAGCAGCCGCGGUAAUACAGAGGCGGCAAGCGUUGUUCGGAAUUAUUGGGCGUAAAGAGCACGUAGGCGGCUAUGCAAGUCGGUUGUGAAAGCCUUCCGCUCAACGGAAGAACGGCAUCCGAUACUGCAUGGCUCGAGUGCGGGAGGGGAGAGUGGAACUUCUGGUGGAGCGGUGAAAUGCGUAGAUAUCAGAAGGAACACCGGCGGCGAAAGCGACUCUCUAGCCCGUAACUGACGCUGAGUGUGCGAAAGCUAGGGGAGCAAACGGGAUUAGAUACCCCGGUAGUCCUAGCCGUAAACGAUGGGCACUAAGUAGAGGGGUUUU